UGAUGACGAGACGCUAAGGCGUUGAAGCAGUGUAUGUCAGACUUCCAAGAAAAGCUCGCAAUGUCACAAAUAAAAAUGCCUGUACCAUAACCGACACAGGUGGGUAGGUAGAGUAUACUAAGGGGCGCGAGAUAACUCUCUCUAAGGAACUCGGCAAAAUGACUCCGUAACUUCGGGAGAAGGAGUGCCUUAUUUAUAAGGUUGCAAUAACAAGAUCCAAGCAACUGUUUAUCAAAAACACAGGUCUCCGCUAAGUCGUAAGACGAUGUAUGGGGGCUGACGCCUGCCCAGUGCCAGAAGGUUAAAGAAGUUGGUUAGUGUAUGCGAAGCUGAUGACUGAAGCCCUGGUGAACGGCGGCCGUAACUAUAACGGUCCUAAGGUAGCGAAAUUCCUUGUCGGGUAAGUUCCGACCCGCACGAAAGGCGUAAUGAUUUGGAUACUGUCUCGGAGAGAGGCUCGGUGAAAUAGACUUGUCUGUGAAGAUGCGGACUACCUGCACCAGGACAGAAAGACCCUAUGAAGCUUUACUGUAACUUGAAAUUGGAAUUGGACUUUGCUUGCGCAGUAUAGGUGGGAAGCGUUGAAAAUAUUCUUGCGGGAGUAUUGGAGCUAUCAGUGAGAUACCACUCUUGUAAUGUUAGAUUUCUAACUUUGAACCAUAAUCUGGUCAAAGAACAGUUUCAGGUGGGCAGUUUGACUGGGGCGGUCGCCUCCCAAAUGGUAACGGAGGCGUACAAAGGUUUCCUCUGAACGGAUAGAAAUCGUAUCUAGAGUGUAAAGGCAUAAGGAAGCUUGACUGUGAGACCUACAAGUCGAGCAGGGACGAAAGUCGGUCUUAGUGAUCUGACGGUACUGAGUGGAAAGGCCGUCACUCAACGGAUAAAAGUUACUCUAAGGAUAACAGGCUGAUCUCCCCCAAGAGUUCACAUCGACGGGGAGGUUUGGCACCUCGAUGUCGGCUCAUCGCAUCCUGGGGCGGUAGUACGUCCCAAGGGUUGGGCUGUUCGCCCAUGAAAGCGGUACGCGAGCUGGGUUCAGAACGUCGUGAGACAGUUCGGUCCAUAUCCGGUGUAGGCGCUAGAAUAUUGAGAGGAGCCUUCUUUAGUACGAGAGGACCGAGAAGGACACACCGCUGGUGUACCAGUUAUCGUGCCAACGGUAAACGCUGGGUAGCUAUGUGUGGAGUGGAUAACCGCUGAAAGCAUCUAAGUGGGAAGCCCACCUCGAGAUGAGUAUUCAG
Molecule: ribosomal RNA, 1241 nt
Filed under: metagenome
Description: bacterial LSU rRNA
Rfam family: Bacterial large subunit ribosomal RNA
Source: RNAcentral